This is a long non-coding RNA of Brassica napus (rape), 1713 nucleotides long. RefSeq lists it as uncharacterized. NCBI's taxonomy places the organism in Eukaryota, Viridiplantae, Streptophyta, Magnoliopsida, Brassicales, Brassicaceae. The transcript is spliced from 2 exons. The record is from RefSeq and is a predicted model, not a curated record.
AAAAAAAUAGAGAAAAAUCGAUAUUCAAUGUCAAUGAAAACGAGACAACAGUGUGAUAUUCGAAUAAAAUUUAGUUAAAGUUUACACAAGGAGUUCGAAUUUAUUCCAAAAGCAAAGUGAAGAUGGAUUGAAAUUACGAUAGACAAAAGAAAGAUAAAAAGAGGAGUGGGUAAUCUUAUACAUAUUAGAAGAAUCAGACAUGGAAGCAAGAGAACAAGAGGAUGAGACAAGACUUGAGCGAGUUGCCAAAUGAGUCACUUGUCUUCUUAAACUUGAUCAUCUUCUUGUUCUUGAACCACUUCCUCUGUUUCUUGGGAGACAAGUCUGCUUCCUCCUCGUAGCUUUUGAACGUGUAGCUUCUGAGAUAUUUCUGUCUGUUGGAUUUGUAAACCUCUGGGCUUAUGAAUCUAACGUAAUCUCCUGGUGACUGAAAAGGUUCGUCCUUGGCACUAAUCUUCUCGGAUCUCAUGUUUUGAACAUCUUUCAUCAUCAUUUUUGUUAGCCAUGAAGGACCCUGAAUCUGAUCCCUGACAGAGAGAGACUAAGGAGUCUGUGGAUAGAAGCGAAGAGAGGCAAAUAGACUAGAGGUACUAAUUGAGUUUGGUUACAAGAGGAAAGAAUAGUCUCUGUGGUUUUUGGGCUUGUUGUUUGCAGCCCAAGGGAACGAAGUUUGUGAUGAUAUGUUCUUGUUCUUGUGUGUCUUGAAGCUGCUGUGGUAACUGAAUGAGAAGUGGACAGUCUCUCCCGUUCCAGACCCAGAAGUCUUGCUCUUAUUUGAAGCUGGAUUUCCUUUAUAACAACUUGAGAAGGCUUGCUUAAUGAAUUAUGAAAUCAGGAAUUUCGCUCCUUCCAUAGAAAAUAGAUCACUGCUUGAAAUAUUAGGAGAACAAGAGGCUUCAGUUCUCUGCAAAGUGCCGAGGACCUCAGCCAAGCCUCCACAUCUUCAAAGGAAAGCGGUGGGUUCAUUUUCAUCACCACACAACAUACAACCUGGUGAAACCUGAAUACCCCAUGAGCUUAGACGAUCUCUGAACGCAAGCCAAGCAAUGAAUGCAUGCUUAGGGAUUUUUUGUUUGAACCAGACCAGAGAAAACCAAGUCACCGGGCUUUCAAUAGGAUUUAGGAAAUGCCAAACCUUGGAGGCAGAAAACCUAUCUGGUGAAUCAUGAGGGGAGUUCUUCCAAAAAUAGAAGUCAGGCUCUGAAGAAUCCAGAGAAGGGAGCGGAGAAGGCAUGCACGACCGUAGCAGAGCUAGAGUCGGAUGUCUGCUGCGAGAAGCAAUCCACCGUCCUUCAUUUAACGCCUCAAAGACAUAGGCAGAAAAGGAGAUUCCUGAGGGUCCCGUUAGAUGCAAAAGAGAACCCAUCCCAGUCUAAUCAUCCAACCAGAAGAGUGCAUUCCGGCCAGACAUAACGGUGCAGGUUAUAAAUUGUCUUGCUGUGUCCCUAUGAUCCAUUAAACUCCUCCAAAUCCAACUUCCAAGAUUAGUGAAAUCAUCAACCCAAAACAAACGCUCCUCCAAAUUUCAGCUUCAUUAGCCAGGUUCAUCUUCAUCUAGCCUGCUUCACUUGGGUUGUUUUGCUCUUUCAAUUUCUUGUAUCUUUCUUUCAUCUUCUUCUUUUUUCCUUUAUUUUGUGUUGUAAAGGUACUCUGAAAAGAAAAAUCGUGAAUAAAUAAGUACUUAUAAAAAAAUAAAAAAAAAGUUUGUGAUGA